GACUCCAUGGCCCAGUGGAGAAGGCACUGGUCUACAGAACCAGAGAUUCUGGGUUCCAUCCCCAGUGGUGUCA
Molecule: non-coding RNA, 73 nt
Organism: Phoenix dactylifera (date palm)
Lineage: Eukaryota; Viridiplantae; Streptophyta; Magnoliopsida; Arecales; Arecaceae
Source: the annotation of a RefSeq genome assembly